This 253-nucleotide ribosomal RNA is filed under the name uncultured prokaryote. Its description in RNAcentral is "partial 16S ribosomal RNA". It matches the Rfam family "Bacterial small subunit ribosomal RNA", at positions 525 to 777 of the family's 1533-position model. The record is from RNAcentral.
ACAGAGGUCCCAAGCGUUGUUCGGAUUCACUGGGCGUAAAGGGUGCGUAGGUGGUCGGGUAAGUCUGAUGUGAAAUCUCCGAGCUUAACUCGGAAACUGCAUCGGAUACUAUUCGGCUGGAGGGUUGGAGGGGGGACUGGAAUACUUGGUGUAGCAGUGAAAUGCGUAGAUAUCAAGUGGAACACCAGUGGCGAAGGCGAAUCCCUGGACCGGUAUUGACGCUGAGGCGCGAAAGCCAGGGGAGCAAACGGGA